UUUAAAGUCUAAUCUGCCCUAUGAGGGAUUAAAUGGCCGCGGUAUUUUGACCGUGCAAAGGUAGCAUAAUAAUUAGUUUUUUAAUUGAAAGCUGGUAUGAAUGAUUGAACGAGAAAGUAACUGUCUCAAUUUAAUUUUAUUAGAAUUUUAUUUUUAAGUAAAAAAGCUUAAAUUUUAUUAAAAGACGAGAAGACCCUAUAGAGUUUUAUAAUUAAUUGAUUAUUAAUUUUUAAGUAAUAUUUUAUUAGUAUUUAAUUAAUUAUUUUAUUGGGGUGAUAGAAAAAUAUUAUUAACUUUUUUUAUUUAUUUAAACAUUGAUAUAUGAUUUAAUGAUCCAUUAUUUAUGAUUAAAAGAUUAAGUUACCUUAGGGAUAACAGCGUAAUUUUUUUUUAGAGUUCUUAUCGAAAGAAAAGAUUGCGACCUCGAUGUUGGAUUAAAAUUAAUAUUAGGUGUAGAAGCUUGAUAAUUAGGUCUGUUCGACCUUUAAAAUUUUACAUGAUCUGAGUUUAAACCGGCGUGAGCCAGGUUGGUUUCUAUCUUUAAUUAAUUAAAAUAUUUUAGUACGAAAGGACCAAGUAUUUACAAUAAUUGUUUAAUUUUGAAUUAUAUUAG
RNAcentral lists this ribosomal RNA (613 nucleotides) under Microserica soppongensis. Its description in RNAcentral is "partial 16S large subunit ribosomal RNA". It matches the Rfam family "Bacterial large subunit ribosomal RNA", at positions 1844 to 2732 of the family's 2925-position model. Lineage: Eukaryota; Metazoa; Arthropoda; Insecta; Coleoptera; Scarabaeidae. The record is from RNAcentral.